This 533-nucleotide ribosomal RNA is filed under the name Paraleptophlebia sp. OPU BS P2013-106. RNAcentral's name for it is "SSU rRNA". It matches the Rfam family "Eukaryotic small subunit ribosomal RNA", at positions 620 to 1119 of the family's 1831-position model. Lineage: Eukaryota; Metazoa; Arthropoda; Insecta; Ephemeroptera; Leptophlebiidae. The record is from RNAcentral.
UAAAAAGCUCGUAGUUGGAUCUGUGUAUCGGACGGUCGGUUCGCCGCUCGCGGCGUUUAACUGACCGGUCCGGACGUCCUGCCGGUGGGCGCCGGUUCGCGCCGGGGCCCGUAACUCCCUCCGCGCUGCUCUUAACCGAGUGGUUCGGUGGGCCGGCACGUUUACUUUGAACAAAUUUGAGUGCUCAAAGCAGGCCUUUUGUCGCCUGAAAACUGUGUGCAUGGAAUAAUGGAAUAGGGCCUUGGUUCUAUUUUGUUGGCUUUUCUGAACUCGAGGUAAUGAUUAAUAGGGACAGACGGGGGCAUUCGUAUUGCGACGUUAGAGGUGAAAUUCUUGGAUCGUCGCAAGACGGACGGAUGCGAAAGCGUUUGCCAAGAAUGUUUUCGCUAAUCAAGAACGAAAGUUAGAGGUUCGAAGGCGAUCAGAUACCGCCCUAGUUCUAACCAUAAACGAUGCCAGCCAGCGAUGCGCCGAAGUUCCUCCGAUGACUCAGCGCGCAGCUUCCGGGAAACCAAAGCUUUUGGGUUCCGGGG